UGAUUACAGGGUAGCAAUAUUCUGUAGUUGGAGCGGCGCAAGGGUGCGUAACACGUGGGUAAUCUGCCAUGAAGUUUGGGAUAACUCGCUGAAAGGCGAGCUAAUACCGGAUGUGACGAUUGGAAGGCAUCUUCUGAUCUUCAAAGUUGGGGACCGUAAGGCCUGACGCUUCAUGAUGAGCCCGCGGCCUAUCAGCUAGUUGGUGAGGUAACGGCUCACCAAGGCUAAGACAGGUAGCUGGUCUGAGAGGACGACCAGCCACACUGGAACUGAGACACGGUCCAGACACCUACGGGUGGCAGCAGUCGAGAAUUUUUCACAAUGGGGGAAACCCUGAUGGAGCGACGCCGCGUGGGGGAUGAAUGGCUUCGGCCCGUAAACCCCUGUCAUUCGCGAACAAUGCCUGUGUAUUAACACCAUACAGGUUGAUAGUAGCGGAAGAGGAAGGGACGGCUAACUCUGUGCCAGCAGCCGCGGUAAUACAGAGGUCCCAAGCGUUGUUCGGAUUCACUGGGCGUAAAGGGUGCGUAGGCGGUCGGGUAAGUCUGAUGUGAAAUCUCACAGCUUAACUGUGAAACUGCAUUGGAUACUAUUCGGCUUGAGGUCUGGAGGGGGGACUGGAAUUCUCGGUGUAGCA
RNAcentral lists this ribosomal RNA (637 nucleotides) under uncultured Verrucomicrobiota bacterium. RNAcentral describes it as "bacterial SSU rRNA". It matches the Rfam family "Bacterial small subunit ribosomal RNA", at positions 68 to 680 of the family's 1533-position model. Lineage: Bacteria; Pseudomonadati; Verrucomicrobiota. The record is from RNAcentral.